Molecule: ribosomal RNA, 1499 nt
Filed under: Psychrobacter sp. DVS6c
Lineage: Bacteria; Pseudomonadati; Pseudomonadota; Gammaproteobacteria; Moraxellales; Moraxellaceae
Description: 16S ribosomal RNA
Rfam family: Bacterial small subunit ribosomal RNA
Source: RNAcentral
GAGUUUAAUCCUGGCUCAGAUUGAACGCUGGCGGCAGGCUUAACACAUGCAAGUCGAGCGGUAACAGGAGAAGCUUGCUUCUCGCUGACGAGCGGCGGACGGGGUGAAAUAAUACUUAGGAAUCUACCUAGUAGUGGGGGAUAGCACGGGGAAACUCGGUAUUAAUACCGCAUACGACCUACGGGAGAAAGGGGGCAGUUUACUGCUCUCGCUCUUAGAUGAGCCUAAGUCGGAUUAGCUAGAUGGUGGGGUAAAGGCCUACCAUGGCGACCAUCUGUAGCUUGUUUGAGAGGAUGAUCAGCCACACCCGGACUGAGACACCGCCCGACUUCUACCGGAGGCAGCAGUGGGGAAUAUUUGGACAAUGGGGGAAACCCCUGAUCCAGCCAUGCCGCCGUGUGUGAAGAAAGGCCUUUUGGUUGUUAAGCACUUUAAGCAGUGAAGAAGACUCUUGGUUAAUACCCGUUGGCCGAUGACAUUAGCUGCAGAAUAAGCACCGGCUAACUCUGUGCCAGCAGCCGCGGUAAUACAGAGGGUGCAAGCGUUAAUCGGAAUUACUGGGCGUAAAGGGAGCGUAGGUGGCUCUAUAAGUCAGAUGUGAAAUCCCCGGGCUUAACCUGGGAACUGCAUCUGAAACUGUAGAGCUAGAGUAUGUGAGAGGAAGGUAGAAUUCCAGGUGUAGCGGUGAAAUGCGUAGAGAUCUGGAGGAAUACCGAUGGCGAAGGCAGCCUUCUGGCAUAAUACUGACACUGAGGCUCGAAAGCGUGGGUAGCAAACAGGAUUAGAUACCCUGGUAGUCCACGCCGUAAACGAUGUCUACUAGUCGUUGGGUCCCUUGAGGACUUAGUGACGCAGCUAACGCAAUAAGUAGACCGCCUGGGGAGUACGGCCGCAAGGUUAAAACUCAAAUGAAUUGACGGGGGCCCGCACAAGCGGUGGAGCAUGUGGUUUAAUUCGAUGCAACGCGAAGAACCUUACCUGGUCUUGACAUAUCUAGAAUCCUGCAGAGAUGCGGGAGUGCCUUCGGGAAUUAGAAUACAGGUGCUGCAUGGCUGUCGUCAGCUCGUGUCGUGAGAUGUUGGGUUAAGUCCCGCAACGAGCGCAACCCUUGUCCUUAGUUACCAGCGGGUUAAGCCGGGAACUCUAAGGAUACUGCCAGUGACAAACUGGAGGAAGGCGGGGACGACGUCAAGUCAUCAUGGCCCUUACGACCAGGGCUACACACGUGCUACAAUGGUAGGUACAGAGGGCAGCUACACAGCGAUGUGAUGCGAAUCUCAAAAAGCCUAUCGUAGUCCAGAUUGGAGUCUGCAACUCGACUCCAUGAAGUAGGAAUCGCUAGUAAUCGCGGAUCAGAAUGCCGCGGUGAAUACGUUCCCGGGCCUUGUACACACCGCCCGUCACACCAUGGGAGUUGAUUGCACCAGAAGUGGAUAGCUUUAACCUUCGGGGGAGGCGUUCACCACGGUGUGGUUGAUGACUGGGGUGAAGUCGUAACA